Molecule: long non-coding RNA, 1679 nt
Organism: Puntigrus tetrazona (Sumatra barb)
Lineage: Eukaryota; Metazoa; Chordata; Actinopteri; Cypriniformes; Cyprinidae
Exons: 11
Source: RefSeq, a predicted model, not a curated record
AUGCGUGCAAAAUAUAAAUAUUACAAUUUUUGCGUUUUAUGUUUUCAUAAGCUUCCACAACCUGUCUGUAAUAUAAUUCUUAUAACUUUUUUCACCUCUACGGCGAUCUGCCAAGAGACCAAACCUUAAAUCUCUGCUCCGUGGCGUUCAAAAUACAUUUUAAGGCCUAUAUUAUGGCUAACAGGUCAAACAAUAUUAUUCGCCAUUUUGAAUAGGCGCGGGAGACGUUAUUUUUUUCCCGCUGAAAGGACCCGCGCGCGCUCUGACAGACGGACGGCGGGCUCCUGAGGACUGAGCUGUGAUUGCCAUUAAGUGAUCCAUUAUUUGACGGCGAAUUUGGGCCUGGACUUGAGCGGCCUCGCAUGCCUCUUCAGACAUUUGUCCCCUCGCAGGGAUUGCUGGACGUUUCAGGACACUGCGCUCAGUUUGCCCACAAAACCAGUGCAAAUAACUCAGCGCUGACCUGCCGGAUGGCUUUGGAAGGGCAACCUCCCAGAGGGACGGCGUUGGGAGCUUAAUUAGAAUGUCAGGAGACACUUUCAAAGUAGUCUGAGACGAGAGUCCACUCCAGUGGGAAACCCGAGCCGAUCGUCUUUCCCAGUUCAAGGCGAAUUGUUGAAUGGGAUCAGACGCAAGGAAUCACAUCUUGUGCAGCGGCUCCACUGGUAGCAUCCCUCUAAGGUCAAGCCGUUCGUGACGGCCUCCCUGAAGCGACAGCUGCUCGGUAUAAGGUUACGAUUUCACCUGCGCGCCGCAGUAACGCAGGAACUGGCGUGUCAUUGAGGAGCGGGCAAGCAGUUUAGUUCUGCUGAUGCAUAAUGAAGAACAAAGGAUGUUUUCUAGUGACUUUAGUUCAUUCAUGCAUUCUGCAACACGAUCGCCGAAGUUUAAUGCUCUGCGUCGGAGGUUUGGUCGAAUCCCUCUCUAACCAGGCACAUCGCUAAUCCCGAUGCUUUCCUUGUUGAUACCAACUAUUGCAUCUCGGCCAUAUGGGAACGCAAUAUUGGAAGUGCUGCUUCAGUGGAUUCCUGAGGAACCUCCUGUUACCGUCACUGAACUUCCUGCCGAAAGACGGGCUGAUUUAGUGCUCAGGGAUGGAGUGGAAGAGAAAGAUCUCCACCUGGGUCCCUCAGAAGUGACUGUUUAUACAAGAGUCUCCCUCGUCCUGCACGUGCGGGUUUGAAGCCUCGGACCGCGGUGAAGGGGUUAUUUGAGCAGCUUCCAUUUACCGCUGGACCCUUUCCAAGGGAAAGUGUAGAGUUGGGCCAAAAUCCGUGGACAGCUACUGAUGAGAUCUGCCGAGUCCAAAAAUGUGAGCGCAAUAAAACAACGGCAUGAGGAAAAGCCGGGCGUCCUCCUGGGCUGCAUUAGCGAGCGGUAAUGCAGUGAGAGGCUGAGGAUGUAUCGCGUCGAAUCUUUUCCUUGGAGCGCGGCUGGGAUGUAUUUAUGGUUUUUCCUUUAGCAGCGAGCGGGUCAGAGGGCGACGUGAGGUCCUGACAGAACACAAUCAUCCAUUAACGCUUAAACAGACAUGAAUGGAAAAAGGCAGCAGUUCAGGGUCAUCAAAUCAGAUCCUACUUAUGCAACAAAAGCAUUACCACAUGGAGGACAGAAAGCAGAGCCUCAGCAACACACACACACACACACACACACACACACACACACACACACACACACAC